UGCCAUCUAAGCACAUUAGCCAGUGUACUUGAAAUCAUCCCAAGAUCAACUUGUGAUACUCCACACAAUGUAAAUACCAUAAAGAGGAAAGAGAGGUAAGCUGAAAGUAUUGCAACUGGAAGUGGUCAUUGAAAUCAUUCUGUCUUACACAGAGCAUGGGCUGGAAGUUGGUAGAGUUGCCCCUUCCUACGGAUCAGGCCCCAUUUCUUUGAUGAGACUUGGGCUGAAGAAAUGAUUUCACCCUUGGAACCAUGCUGGUUGUUCCAAGAGGUGUAAUCAGGUUAAGGCAGGCUGAGUUAACCAGACUUUUACAAAGUGGAGCCAGGAGCAAAAGCUCUUCCUCUCUUGCCGAAGACUGUGAGUCAGAG
Ochotona princeps (American pika) is the source of this 368-nucleotide long non-coding RNA. RefSeq lists it as uncharacterized. The transcript has 3 exons. The record is from RefSeq and is a predicted model, not a curated record. NCBI's taxonomy places the organism in Eukaryota, Metazoa, Chordata, Mammalia, Lagomorpha, Ochotonidae.